GACUAUGGCCAUGCCACCCUGAAUAAGCCCAAAGUCUGAUCAUGUCUGAUCUUAGAAGCUAAGCAGGGCCAGGACUGGUUAGUACUUGGAUGGGAGACCACCUAGGAAGGCCAGGUGCUGUAGGCA
Molecule: ribosomal RNA, 126 nt
Organism: Pteropus vampyrus (large flying fox)
Lineage: Eukaryota; Metazoa; Chordata; Mammalia; Chiroptera; Pteropodidae
Source: Ensembl